RNAcentral lists this ribosomal RNA (1223 nucleotides) under Siphonaperta sp. 13213. RNAcentral describes it as "bacterial SSU rRNA". It matches the Rfam family "Eukaryotic small subunit ribosomal RNA", at positions 1160 to 1801 of the family's 1831-position model. The record is from RNAcentral. Lineage: Eukaryota; Foraminifera; Miliolida; Hauerinidae.
AAGGGCACCACAAGAACGCUGGAGCAUGUGGCUUAAUUUGACUCAACGCGGGGAAACUUACCGGGUCCGACACACUGAGGAUUGACAGGCGUUUACUUGUUUUGUGUUGUUUCUUUGGCGACUUCGGUCAAAAGGGAAGCUUCUACAAUUCAAGUAUAGCAAAUAUGCUAGUCCUUUCAUGAUUGUGUGAUAGGUGGUGCAUGGCCGUUCUUAGUUCGUGGAGUGAUCUGUCUGCUUAAUUGCGUUUCACAUAUAUGAACGAAAGAAUCCCGCCUGUGCUUGUGGUACGCCACGAGUACGGCUUUUACGUGGAUUUCUAAAGUUCUGAAGGCAACGAACGUGACCGCAACCUCUAGUUGCUCGUCUCAAGGGUAUUGAACUUUGGGAUGUCUUUUGGGAUAUCUUGAGGGAUUUCCCUUACUCGCACGAUGCUAACUAGAGGGACCGCUAGUAACUUUCAAACAGAGGAAGGUUGCGGCAAUAACAGGUCUGUGAUGCCCUUAGAUGUUCCGGGCUGCACACGUGCUACAAUGAUUGUUGCAGUAAGCAUCUCUCCCAUUGUAUGUCUUCCUCUCUUUAUUCCUUUAUUGGGAUAGGAGGAACGACACCACGUUCACUGCCGCGUUUCGGUGUACUUUGACUCUCCUUCUCACUUUUCUUUGUUCUCUUGCGUGCUUUCUUCUUUUCAAACCUUGAUAUCCUUUUUUUAGGGUAUUGAGUGUGCGAGAAGUCGUAUAGUGUGUGAGUAGGGCGGAACUGUGGGUUUAAGGCGUCAGUCGCUGAAUGUGUUGGUCUGUGUAACGUGUCGACCUACUUCGAAAGUGUUUAGGCAAUCACUUAGAAGUAACAACCCAGUUUCCCGCCACUUUAUACAUCUCUUGUUUUGCUGCUCCCUUUGCGAUACUCUUCGGAUGUGUCCUUGGGGUUUACAUGUAGCCUUGAUGAUGUUGUGCUCCAUUAAUUCGUUGUGGGGACAGACCAUUGCUAAUUGUUGGUCUCGGUCUCAACUAGGAAUGCCUUGUAGAUGUGGUUCAACAAACCGCAUCGAAUAUGUCCCUGCCUUUUGUACACACCGCCCGUCGCUCUUACCGAUGGACUUCGCUGUGAGUUUGAGGGACUGGCAAUACAGUCAUAGUUAGGUCUUUUCAUUGAGGCCUCUUUGGCUUGCUAUGGAAACUUAAACGAACAGUGUGGUCUAAAGGAAAGAGAAGUCGAACAAGGCA